AUGAACGCUGGCGGCGUGUCUAAGGCAUGCAAGUCGAACGAGUUCAUUGUCGUCGCAAGACGAUGAUGAAUCAGUGGCAAACGGGUGCGUAACACAUUGGUAAUCUGCUUCGAAGUCGGGCACAACCAGCCGAAAGGCUGGCUAAUUCCACGAUGGUCAUGAGGGGCCGCAUGGCAUUCUCAUGUAAAGUCGCAAGACGCUUCGAAAGGAACCUAUGGCCUAUCAGCUUGUUGGCGGGGUAAUGGCCCACCAAGGCAAUGACGGGUAGGGGAUGUGAGAGCAUGAUCCCCCUCACUGGGACUGAGACACUGCCCAGACACCUACGGGUGGCUGCAGUCGAGAAUAUUCCCCAAUGGGCGAAAGCCUGAGGGAGCGACGCCGCGUGCAGGAUGAAGGCCUUCGGGUCGUAAACUGCUUUUGCCGAGGACGAAAUCUGACGGUACUCGGAGAAUAAGAGGUUGCUAACUCUGU
This 471-nucleotide ribosomal RNA is filed under the name uncultured bacterium. RNAcentral's name for it is "bacterial SSU rRNA". It matches the Rfam family "Bacterial small subunit ribosomal RNA", at positions 29 to 506 of the family's 1533-position model. The record is from RNAcentral.